AGCGGACCCCCCGCACCCAGACCCUCACCUUCCCAUCUCUUCUGCUAAGGGACCAGCCAUGUCCCCGAAGCUGUUCACUCUCCUGAGAUGCCUCCACCAGCUCCUGUCCCUACGAGGAUGGCAUGUGGGCCUGAACCUAAGGCACCCAGAGUGUUGUUCAUCAACCUCGGUAUCUCCCGUGUGCAUCCCCAGGAAGCAGGUCUUACCCCAUCAUCUCCUGAGGCUGCUGAGGCUUGGAGACCAAGUGACUCGUAGAUCUGUCUCCACAUCCUGCCCAAGCAGCUCAACAGAGACCCCUCGGGAGGGGUCCUGUUGACACCAGGGGGACUUGGAAGCAGGAGACGCAGCCUUGAACCCCCAGCGUGAUGCUCUUCUGAUGCUUGGACCCACGUGCCCUGACACUGCAUAAUACUCCCAGAGUAAUUAAAAGUGGUAUUUCAAUA
Mustela erminea (ermine) is the source of this 443-nucleotide long non-coding RNA. RefSeq lists it as uncharacterized. NCBI's taxonomy places the organism in Eukaryota, Metazoa, Chordata, Mammalia, Carnivora, Mustelidae. The record is from RefSeq and is a predicted model, not a curated record. The transcript has 2 exons.